This 427-nucleotide unclassified non-coding RNA is filed under the name rhizosphere metagenome. Its description in RNAcentral is "partial ribosomal RNA internal transcribed spacer region". The record is from RNAcentral.
GUAGGUGAACCUGCGGAAGGAUCAUUAUCACGUAUAUCCACGUUAUAAACCCUUCUUAGAAACAGUAAACGUAAACGCACAAUCUGGCUCGAUUAAAGUUUUGGCGUAAAAGAAUAUGACUUUCAGGUUGCGUCCUGAAUGAAAGGAGAUUGCUAUUGUAAUUUUGAGAUCUCCGACUAUUCUAAGCUGCCGAGGUGGACGCUCCUGUGUGGAGGCAUUCCUCGAUGAAAUGGUUUUGCAGGUUUCGACCUGCAAUUCCACGGAACUUGUACCUGAGCUCAGCGUGUAAUCAAAAUUUACAUACUUAUAGAUUAACUAUUUAAACCCCCUUUGAUAAAUUGAACUAACGAACUCCUACUCCAAUAAAACGGAGAUGAGUUAAUUACGAAACAAAGAACAACUCUUAGCAACGGAUAUCUUGGUUCUC